RNAcentral lists this ribosomal RNA (272 nucleotides) under uncultured prokaryote. RNAcentral's name for it is "partial 16S ribosomal RNA". It matches the Rfam family "Bacterial small subunit ribosomal RNA", at positions 355 to 623 of the family's 1533-position model. The record is from RNAcentral.
UGAGGAAUAUUGGUCAAUGGGCGCAAGCCUGAACCAGCCAUCCCGCGUGCAGGAAGACGGCCCUCUGGGUUGUAAACUGCUUUUCCAGGGGGAGAAACUUGCGCACGUGUUGCGCAAUUGACGGUACCCUGGGAAUAAGCAUCGGCUAACUCCGUGCCAGCAGCCGCGGUAAUACGGAGGAUGCGAGCGUUAUCCGGAUUCAUUGGGUUUAAAGGGUGCGUAGGCGGACUAUUAAGUCAGUGGUGAAAUCCUGCAGCUUAACUGCAGAACUG